This 266-nucleotide ribosomal RNA is filed under the name uncultured bacterium. Its description in RNAcentral is "partial 16S ribosomal RNA". It matches the Rfam family "Bacterial small subunit ribosomal RNA", at positions 793 to 1055 of the family's 1533-position model. The record is from RNAcentral.
GUCCCAGCCGUAAACGAUGGAUACUAGGUGUCGGGGGUAUCGACCCCUCCGGUGCCGCAGCUAACGCAUUAAGUAUCCCGCCUGGGGAGUACGGCCGCAAGGUUGAAACUCAAAGGAAUUGACGGGGGCCCGCACAAGCGGUGGAGCAUGUUGUUUAAUACGUCACUAACCGUAGAACCUUACCAGGGCUUGACAUCGCUGGACCGCCGGUGAAAGCCGGUUUUCACCGCAAGGGGACCAGAUGACAGGUGUUGCAUGGCUGUCGU